UGAGCUUAUUUAACUUUCCUUUUUUUGUGUGCGGGCGUAGGAUAAGGGAGGCGUAGGAUAGAGGGGAGGGGUAUCGAACCCUAACUAACUAGCUAACAACCCCUGGUUGCCUUUUGGUUUUGCCGUUGCAGGUACAACUUUGACGUGGUGAAGGAUGUGCCACUGGAAGGUCGCUACCAGUGGGUUCGGUUGAAGCCAUGAUGAUGAUGAUCCAAGAGGAAUCUCAGCCCGUAAAAAAAGGUGCAGGGAGAGGAGAGAGAGAGAGAGAGAGAGAGUGAUCCAGAGGAAUCAUCCCACCCCGUAAAAAAAGGUGCAUGGAGAGAGAGAGAAACCCAGUCGUAGCUAGUGGUCAGUCAUGGUGGGUAGGAAAAAAAAACAAGUUUUUCAGAGGAAGGAAGGAAUCCGAGAUGCCAGAGUUUCUUCCUUACAGGAUUCUAACCGAUUGGCAUAAUUUGUUUUAAACUUAGGAAGAAGAUCAGGGGGGGAAUGGGAGUGAUUAAAACAAAAAUAGGCAGUCAGCAGGCAGAGCAGAGUCAGUAGUCGUCCCUUUUUCUUCUUUUUUUUAUCAUCUUUCAUGUAAAGAAAGCUAGCUUUCAAUUCCUACCCAUAUUAAUUAAUAUAAUAUAUAUAUAUAUAUCUUUCUCUCAGUCUUUCUUCAUAUGCAUAUCCGGC
This 672-nucleotide long non-coding RNA is filed under the name Linum usitatissimum (flax). RNAcentral describes it as "long non-coding RNA (LUSI_LNC002884)". The record is from RNAcentral. Lineage: Eukaryota; Viridiplantae; Streptophyta; Magnoliopsida; Malpighiales; Linaceae.